Molecule: ribosomal RNA, 491 nt
Filed under: uncultured soil bacterium
Lineage: Bacteria
Description: bacterial SSU rRNA
Rfam family: Bacterial small subunit ribosomal RNA
Source: RNAcentral
AGAUUGAACGCUGGCGGCAGGCCUAACACAUGCAAGUCGAGCGGUAGAGAGGUGCUUGCAUCUCUUGAGAGCGGCGGACGGGUGAGUAAUGCCUAGGAAUCUGCCUAGUGGUGGGGGAUAACGUUCGGAAACGGACGCUAAUACCGCAUACGUCCUACGGGAGAAAGCGGGGGACCUUCGGGCCUCGCGCCAUUAGAUGAGCCUAGGUCGGAUUAGCUAGUUGGUGAGGUAAUGGCUCACCAAGGCGACGAUCCGUAACUGGUCUGAGAGGAUGAUCAGUCACACUGGAACUGAGACACGGUCCAGACUCCUACGGGAGGCAGCAGUGGGGAAUAUUGGACAAUGGGCGAAAGCCUGAUCCAGCCAUGCCGCGUGUGUGAAGAAGGUCUUCGGAUUGUAAAGCAACUUUAAGUUGGAAGGAAGGUUGUAACCUAAUACGUUGCAACUUUGACGUUACCGACAGAAUAAGCACCGGCUAAACUUCGUGCCAG